AUAAUACUCCAUAGAUUAGAGACACUGGAAUGUUCUUUAGUCGAAAGUUCUGGCGCCUUAGGAUGGAUCUGCGGUCGAUUAGGUUGUUGUUGGGGUAACGGCCCAACAAGCCUGUAAUCGAUACGGGUUGUGGGAGCAAGAGCCCGGAGAUGGAAUCUGAGACACGAUUCCAGGCCCUACGGGGCGCAGCAGGCGCGAAAACUUUACAAUGCAGGAAACUGUGAUAAGGGAACUCCGAGUGCCCGUAUACGCGGGCUGUCCAGGUGUUUAAAAAUCAUCUGAAGAAAGGGCCGGGCAAGACCGGUGCCAGCCGCCGCGGUAAUACCGGCGGCUCGAGUGGUGGCCACUAUUAUUGGGCUUAAAGCGUCCGUAGCUGGACCGAUAAGUCUCUUGGGAAAUCCGCCGGCUCAACCGGCGGGCGUCUAAGGGAUACUGUUAGUCUAGGGACCGGGAGAGGUGAGAGGUACUCCGGGGGCAGGAGUGAAAUCCUGUAAUCCCCGGGGGACCACCGAUGGCGAAGGCAUCUCACCAGAACGGCUCCGACAGUGAGGGACGAAAGCUGGGGGAGCGAACCGGAUUAGAUACCCGGGUAGUCCCAGCCGUAAACUAUGCGCGUUAGGUGU
Molecule: ribosomal RNA, 623 nt
Filed under: uncultured archaeon
Lineage: Archaea
Description: bacterial SSU rRNA
Rfam family: Archaeal small subunit ribosomal RNA
Source: RNAcentral